AUCCCACGCGUAAAGGAUGCGACGGUGAAUAAUAUGGCCCAGGCCCUCGGGACACUUGUUGGCUCCUAACGGAGCUGAACCUACUAUCUUAGCUUGUACCACCUGGACUUGUAUGAAGAAGGUCAUAGCUCUUGAAAUACACUGUGCUUUGGAGAGACCCAAAAGCGGUAGUCCUGAAAUCAAUCUAGUGUCUCCUAGCCUUAGAAAUGGCUGGGGAGGGGCUCCAGAGUGGUUCAGUCGGUUAAGCGUCAGACUUCGGCUCAGAUGAUAAGAACAGGGAUGCGGAGUUCAGAGUUGACUCCAAAGAAGGAAAUUUCUAAAAGGUCAGAAUCAUCGAAUGGGACAUCAGGAGGAUCCUGUGUGGUGGUUCCUGAGGGAUCAGAAGCUAUAGGCCUGUAAAGAUACUUCAGAGGAACUAAAAGGCCAACCCUCACAUGGAGAAGGAGAAGCUGAAAGACAGCAAGGAAGUCUUAUGGAUCCUCCCAGGGUGAGUAAGUGUUGCAUCCACACAAGUCCUGAAACAGAAUGCUACGGCACCAGUGACAGUCACAGCAAAGUUUAUUGCAACGAAAGGCAAGGCCGACCAAUCGGGCCGACGCUUUUGAUCAGAGUGUAGCCUCGAACAGCCGGGUACGGAGUUUUUAUAGUCGACCACAUCAUCUUGUCAUCACCUGGGAACAGAACAAAGAAACAGUUCCCAGAUGGGGAUGGAAACAGUUCUGCCACUGCAACCAGUUGACCUCCUUGACCCUGCCUCUGGCGCCACUUUUAAAACAAAGCUGUUAUCUCUUAGCCUACAGUGUCAAAACAAAGCUGUUAUUUCUCAAGGCUACAGGUUAGCCCUACACUACAAUUUUGCCCUUACAGUGAGUACAUCUUAAAUGAAAAAUUCACUCUGAACAUUGCAGUCUCUCUAAGCCUUUAAAUUCCUUUCCUCUAGUGGCACCUCAGUCAGUUAAGUAUCCAACUCAUUUUUUUGUUUUGUUGUUUUGGGUUUUUUUUUUUAAUGUUUAUUUUUGAAAGAGUGCACGUGCACACGAGAGAGAGAGAGAGAGAGAGAGACAGAGAGAGAGAGACAGAGAGAGAGAGCGCAGUGGAGGGGCACACAGAAAGGGAGACAGAGGAUCCGAAACAGGGUUCUUGCUGUCAGCCCAGAGCCCGACGUGGUGAAAUCAUGACCCCAAGCAGAAGUCAGACGCUUAACCAACUGAGCCACCCAGGCACCCCAAGCAUCCAACUCUUGAUAUCAGCUCAUGUCUUGAUCUCAGGGUUGUGAGUGUCAGCCCCACAUUGGGUUCCAUGUGGAGUUGGAGCCUACAUUAAAAAAAAAAAAAAAAAAUCCUUUCUCUAAAUUAAACAAAGGGAGAUUGGGAAUUUCCAAUUCACUCCCAGGGGGCUAUCUUUUGGUUUGUGUUUCAGCCAGUCAAUGAAACAAACUCCCAGAGUUUACCAAUUCAAAUGCUAAACUCUUCUAGAAAUAACUUCACAGACACACCCAGAAAUAAUAUCUUAUCAACUAUCUGGUAUCUCUUAGCCUAGUCAAGUUCAAUAUAAAGUUAACCAUCACAACAGUUUAUCCCUUUAAUUGAUGUGGAAUCUCAUCUAAUUAACAUCAUCUCAUUCAAUCCUGAUAUAGGUACUUUCUGUCUUCUUUUCAUCUUUACUAAGUCUUAUAAAUUUUAUUGAUAUUUCUGAAAUAACUACUUUGGAGGCCACCUGGGUGGCUCAGUUAGUUAAGCAUCUGACUUUUGAUUUUGGCUCAGGUCAUGAUAUCAUGGUUGUGAGAUCCAGCCCUGCAUUGGGCUCUGCACUGACAGUGCACAGAAACUACUUAGGAUUUUGCUGCUCUCUCCUCUCUCUCUGCCCCUCCCCUCUUUGCACGCUCUCUCUCUCUCAAAAUGAAUAAACUAAACUAAACUAAAAUAACCACUUUGGGUUUCAUUGAUUUUCUCUAUACUUUUCCUGUUUGUUUUCUAGUUUUCCACUUUGACCAUAUUAUUUCAUUUCUUCCUAUUUUGACCCUCAUUUGCUCUUCUGAUUCUAGUUUCUUAACCUUUCCUCUUUUUUAAAAAAAAUUUUUUUUUAACGUUGAUUUAUUUUUGAGACAGAGAGAGGCAGAGCAUGAAUGGGGGAGGGUCAGAGAGAGAGGGAGACACAGAAUCUGAAACAGACUCCAGGCUGUGACUGUCAGCACAGAGCCCGAUGCGGGGCUCGAACUCAUGGACCGAGAGAUCAUGACCUGAGCCAAAGUUGGAUGCUUAACCGACUGAGCCACCCAGGCACCCCUCCUCCUUUCUAAUAUACACAUUUAGUGCUAUAAUUUCCCUCUAAAUACUGCUUUAACAACUCUCCAUAAAUUUUGAUUUUGAGUCAAUUCAAAAUACUUUCUAAUAUACUUUUUAUAUUAUGUUUG
Panthera uncia (snow leopard) is the source of this 2413-nucleotide long non-coding RNA. RefSeq lists it as uncharacterized. The record is from RefSeq and is a predicted model, not a curated record. The transcript has 3 exons. NCBI's taxonomy places the organism in Eukaryota, Metazoa, Chordata, Mammalia, Carnivora, Felidae.